This 253-nucleotide ribosomal RNA is filed under the name uncultured bacterium. RNAcentral describes it as "partial 16S ribosomal RNA". It matches the Rfam family "Bacterial small subunit ribosomal RNA", at positions 524 to 776 of the family's 1533-position model. The record is from RNAcentral.
UACAGAGGUCUCAAGCGUUGUUCGGAUUCAUUGGGCGUAAAGGGCGCGUAGGCGGCGGGGUAAGUCGGGUGUGAAAUCUCAGAGCUCAACUCUGAAAUGGCACUUGAUACUGCUCUGCUAGAGGACUGGAGAGGAGAUUGGAAUUCACGGUGUAGCGGUGAAAUGUGUAGAGAUCGGGAGGAACACCGGUGGCGAAGGCGGGUCUCUGGGCAUUUCCUGACGCUGAGGCGCGAAAGCGUGGGGAGCAAACGGG